RNAcentral lists this ribosomal RNA (343 nucleotides) under uncultured bacterium. RNAcentral's name for it is "bacterial SSU rRNA". It matches the Rfam family "Bacterial small subunit ribosomal RNA", at positions 29 to 387 of the family's 1533-position model. The record is from RNAcentral.
AACGAACGCUGGCGGCAGGCUUAACACAUGCAAGUCGAACGCUCGUAGCGAUACGAGAGUGGCAGACGGGUGAGUAACACGUGGGAACAUACCCUUUGGUUCGGAACAACGCGUGGAAACGCGCGCUAAUACCGGAUAAGCCUCUGGAGUGAUCCGGGGGGAAAGAUUGAUUGCCGAAGGAUUGGCCCGCGUCCGAUUAGCUUGUUGGUGAGGUAACGGCUCACCAAGGCAUCGAUCGGUAGCUGGUCUGAGAGGAUGGCCAGCCACAUUGGGACUGAGACACGGCCCAAACUCCUACGGGAGGCAGCAGUGGGGAAUAUUGGACAAUGGGCGCAAGCCUGAU